UUUAAAGAAAGCGUAAUAGCUCACUAGUCGAGUCGGCCUGCGCGGAAGAUGUAACGGGGCUAAAACUAUGUGCCGAAGCUGCGGAUUUGACAUUAGUCAAGUGGUAGGGGAGCGUUCUGUAAGCCGAUGAAGGUGUAUUGAGAAGUAUGCUGGAGGUAUCAGAAGUGCGAAUGCUGACGUGAGUAACGACAAAACGGGUGAAAAACCCGUUCGCUGAAAGACCAAGGGUUCCAGUCCAACGUUAAUCGGGGCUGGGUGAGUCGACCCCUAAGGCGAGGCCGAGAGGCGUAGUCGAUGGGAAAUUGGUUAAUAUUCCAAUACUUCUGUGUAAUGCGAUGAGAGGACGGAGAAGGUUAAGUCAGCCUGGCGUUGGUUGUCCAGGUGGAAGGUUGUAGGCAUGUAUCUUAGGCAAAUCCGGGGUACUCUAUGCUGAGAACUGAUAGCAAGCUGUACUUGUACAGUGAAGUGGCUGAUACCAUGCUUCCAGGAAAAGUCUCUAAGCUUCAGUUACACAGGAAUCGUACCCGAAACCGACACAGGUGGUCAGGUCGAGUAGACCAAAGCGCUUGAGAGAACUCUGCUGAAGGAACUAGGCAAAAUGGUACCGUAACUUCGGGAGAAGGUACGCUGCUGACGGUGAUGGGACUUGCUCCCUGAGCGGUUGGCAGCCGCAGAAACCAGGCCGCUGCAACUGUUUAUUAAAAACAUAGCACUCUGCAAACACGAAAGUGGACGUAUAGGGUGUGAUGCCUGCCCGGUGCUGGAAGGUUAAUUGAUGGGGUUAGCGUAAGCGAAGCUCUUGAUCGAAGCCCCAGUAAACGGCGGCCGUAACAAUAACGGUCCUAAGGUAGCGAAAUUCCUUGUCGGGUAAGUUCCGACCCGCACGAAUGGCAUAAUGAUGGCGGCGCUGUCUCCAGCAGAGGCUCAGUGAAAUCGAAAUCGCUGUGAAGAUGCAGUGUACCCGCGGCUAGACGGAAAGACCCCGUGAACCUUUACUAUAGCUUUGCACUGGACUUUGAGCUUGCUUGUGUAGGAUAGGUGGGAGGCUUUGAAGCGUGGACGCCAGUUCGCGUGGAGCCAA
This 1081-nucleotide ribosomal RNA is filed under the name Withania somnifera. Its description in RNAcentral is "bacterial LSU rRNA". It matches the Rfam family "Bacterial large subunit ribosomal RNA", at positions 1122 to 2189 of the family's 2925-position model. The record is from RNAcentral. Lineage: Eukaryota; Viridiplantae; Streptophyta; Magnoliopsida; Solanales; Solanaceae.